This 440-nucleotide ribosomal RNA is filed under the name uncultured bacterium. Its description in RNAcentral is "partial 16S ribosomal RNA". It matches the Rfam family "Bacterial small subunit ribosomal RNA", at positions 338 to 795 of the family's 1533-position model. The record is from RNAcentral.
CCUACGGGUGGCAGCAGUGGGGAAUAUUGCUCAAUGGGGGGAACCCUGAUGCAGCGACGCCGCGUGCGUGAAGACGUCUUUCGGUAUGUAAAGCUCUAUCAGCAGGGAAGAAAAUGACGGUACCUGACUAAGAAGCCACGUCUAACUACGUUACAGCAGCCGCGGUAAUACGUAGGGGGCAAGCGUAAUCCGGAUUUACUGGGUGUAAGGGGGGCGCAGACGGCUGUGCAAGUCUGGAGUGAAAGGCGGGGGCCCAACCCCCGAACUGCUCUGGAAACUGUAAAGCUGGAGUGCAGGAGAGGUAGGCGGAAUUCCUGGUGUAGCGGUGAAAUGCGUAGAUAUUAGGAGGAACACCAGUGGCGAAGGCGGCUUACUGGACUGCAACUGACGUUGAGGCUCGAAAGCGUGGGGAGCAAACAGGAUUAGAUACCCCUGUAGUC